RNAcentral lists this ribosomal RNA (3525 nucleotides) under Trema orientale. RNAcentral's name for it is "eukaryotic LSU rRNA". The stretch from base 357 to 3525 matches the Rfam family "Eukaryotic large subunit ribosomal RNA". Lineage: Eukaryota; Viridiplantae; Streptophyta; Magnoliopsida; Rosales; Cannabaceae. The record is from RNAcentral.
AAAUGACUUGGCAACAGAUAUCUCGGCUUUCGCAUCGAUGAAGAUCAUAACAAAAUGUGAUACUUAGUGUGAAUUGCAGAAUCCUGUGAACCAUCGUGUCUUUGAACACAAGUUACGCUUGAAGCCAUUAGGCCGAGGGCACGUCUACCUAGGCAUCGCACAACGUUGGCCCCCUAACCCUCGUGGUCGAGCGAGCGGAAGAUGGCCUCCCGUGAGCUACUCGCCUCACGGUUAGCCCAAAAAUGAGUCCUUGGCUGCAAUCGUCGAGACAUUCGGUGGUUCUAGAAAAUUCAGUGCCCCAUCGCGCGUGCUUCAAUAGUUUAGGAGCUUCUCAGUAUGACCCCAAUACACUGCUAAAUGCAAUGGUCAAGCAGGGCUACCCGCUGAGUUUAAGUAUAUCAAUAAGCGAAGGAAAAGAAACUUACAAGGAUUCCCCCAGUAAUGGCAAGCAAAACGGGAACAACCCAAGUUGAGAAUCGGGCGCCCUCAGCAUUCGAAUUGUAGUUUGAAGAAGUAUCCUCAGCAGAAAAGUGGGCCUGAGUACCCUGGAAAGGGGCACCAGAGAGGGUGAGAGCCACGUCGUGCCCGAACCUUGUCGCAUCAUAAGGCGCUAUCAGCGAGUCAGAUUGUUUGGGAGUGUAGCUCCAAUCAGGCGGUAAAUUCCGUCCAGGGCUAAAUACUAGCAAGAGAAUGAUAACAAACAAGUACCGCGAGAGAAAAAUCAAAAGGACUUUGAAAAGAGAGUCAGAGAGUAUGAUGCACCCCCAGUCAGAUGUGAAACGGUGAAAGCCAGUUCGCUGAUCGACUCAGGGUGCAGACUGAUGCGGAUUGAGGGGGCGGCCCAAGCCUGGGCUGUUGAUAUGCCCGUGGAGACGUCUUCCCCUUGAUCGUGGAACCCAGCAUGCGCCGUCUCAGCGUGCUUCUGCACCUACGUGCUCUGAGCAUCGGCCUGUGGGCUCCCCAUUCAGCUCAUCUUGAAACACGGACCAAGGAGUUUGACAUGUGUGCGAGUCAAUGGGCUAGUAAACCCGUAAGGCGCAAGGAAGCUGACUGGCGAGAUCCCCUUGUGGGUUGCACUGCCGACUGACCUUGAUCUUCUGAGAAGAGUUCGAGUGAGAGCAUACCUAUUGAGACUCGAAAGAUGGUAAACUAUGCCUGAGCGGGGCGAAGCCAGAGGAAACUCUUAUGGAGGCCCGCUGUGAUACUAACGUGCAAAUCAUUUGUCUGACUUGGGUAUAGGGGCAAAAGAUAAAUCGAACUGUCUAGUAGCUGGUUCCCUCCAAAGUUUCCCUUAGGAUAGCUGGAGCCCAUAGACGAGUUCUAUCAGGUAAAGCCAAGGAUUAGAAGCAUCGGGGGGUGCAACGCUCUCGACCUAUUCUCAAACCUAAAAUAGGUAGGACGGCGCGGUUGCUUUGUUGAGCCGCGCCACGGAAUCGAGAGUUCCAAGUGGGCCAUUUUUGGUAAGCAGAACUGGCGUUGCGGGAUGAACCAGAAGCCAGGUUACGGUGCCCAACUGUGCGCUAACCUAGAACCUACUAAGGGUGUUGGUUGAUUAAGAUAGUAAGACAGCGGUCAUGGAAGUCAAAAUCUGCUAAGGAGUGUGUAACAGCUCACCUGGCGAAUCAACUAGCCCCGAAAAUAGAUGGCACUUAAGCGCGCGAUCUACACCCAGCCGUUAAGGCAAGUGCCAGGCCCCAAUGAGUAGGAGGGCGCGGGGGUCGCUAUAAAACCUGGGGCAUGAGUCUGGGCAGAGCGGCCGUCGGUGCAGAUCUUGGUGGUAUAUUCAAAUGAGAACUUUGAAGGCUGAAGAGGGGAAAGGUUACAUGUGAAUGGCACCUGCACAUGGGUUAGUCAAUCCAAACAGACGGGGAAAGCCCAUCUAAUAGCGCUGGGAGUGCGAGCUUCGAAAGGGAAUCGGGCUAAAAUUCCUGAACCGGGACAUGAUGGCUGACGACAACGUUAGGAAGUCCAGAAACGUCAGCGGGGGCCUCGGGAAGAGUUAUCUUUUCUGUUUAACAGCUUGCCCACCCUGGAAAUAGCAUAGCCAGAAGUAAGGUCCAGUGCACCCCCGGUGGCCCUUGAAAAUCUGGAGGACCGAGUACCACCCAUGCCCGAUCAUACUCAUAACCGUCUUAGGUCUCCAAGGUGAACAACCUCUAGUCGAUGGAACAAUGUAGGCAAGGAAAGUCGACAAAAUGGAUCCAUAACUUCGGGAAAAGGAUUAGCUCUGAGGGCUAGGCACAGGGUUCCAAUCCCAAAUCCGUCGGCUAUCAGCGGACUGCUCGAGCUACUCCCACGGUGAGAGCGGGUCACCGCGUGCCGGCCAGAGGACGGACUGGGAACAGCUCCUCUGGGCGUCUUCCCCGGGCAUCGAACAGUCGACUCAGAAUUGGUACGGAGAAGGGAAAUCUAAUUGUUUAAUUAAAACAAAGCAAUCUGAUGGUCCCUAUGGAUACUCAUGCAAUGUGAUUUCUGCCCAGAGCUCUAAAUAUCAAAGUGAAGAAAUUCAACCAAGCGCGGGUAAAUGACAAAAGUAACUAUGACUCUCUUAAGGUAGCCAAAUGCCUCGUCAUCUAAUUAGUGAUGUGCAUGAAUGGAUUAACGAGAUUCCCACUGUCCCUAUCAACUAUCCAGCGAAACCACAACCAAGGGAAUGGGCUUGGCAGAAUCAGUGGGGAAAGUAGACCCUAUUGAGCUUGACCCUAGUUUGACUUUGUUAAAUGACUUGAGAGGUGUAGUAUAAGUGGGAGCCGGAAACGGCGAAAGUGAAAUACCACUACUUUUAGCGUUAUUUUAGUUAUUCCGUGAAUUUCUUUUUGGACCCGAGGCCUACUUCGGCGGGCUGAUUCAGGCAGAAGUCAUUGUCAGGUGGGAAGUUUGGCUAGGGUGGCACAUCUGUUAAAAGAUAAUGCUGGUGUCCUAAGAUGAGCUCAACGAGAAUAGAAAUCUCGUGUGGAACAAAAGGGUAAAAGCUCAUUUGAUUCUGAUUUCCGGUACGAAUACAAACCAUGAAAGCGUGGCCUAGCGAUCAUUUAGACCUUCAAAAUUUGAAGCUAGAGGUAUCAGAAAAGUUACCACAGAGAUAACUAGCCUAUGGCAGCCAAGUGUUCACAGCGACAUUGCUUUUGGAUCCUUCGAUGUCGGCUCUUCCUAUUAUUGUGAAGCAAAAUUCACCAAGUGUUGGAUUGUUUACCCACUAAUGGGGAAUGUGAGCUGGGUUUAGACUGUCAUGAGAUACGUUAGUUUUACUCUAUUAAUGACAGUGUCACAAUAGUAAUUCAACCUAGUACGAGAGGAACCAUUGAUUCGUAUAAAUGGUCAUCGCGCUUGGUUGAAAAGCCAGUGGCGCGAAGUUACCGUGUGCUGGAUUAAGCGAUAAUCUGGGCUAAAAAUGACGCAUGUGCCUGCCGCAUAUUUGCCGACCAACAGUAGGUGGCUUGUCCCCAAAGGCACAUACUGUUGGUGAAGGCCACACGACGGAUGAGCCGUGCGGGCCGCCUUGAAGUACAAUUCAUACUGAGCAGC